GAUGAACGCUAGCUACAGGCUUAACACAUGCAAGUCGAGGGGUAACGAGAGGAAAGCUUGCUUUCCUUGUCGACGACCGGCGCACGGGUGAGUAACGCGUAUCCAACCUGCCCCCAACUAAGGAAUAACCUUGCGAAAGUAAGACUAAUACCUUAUAAUUUCCUCAGAUGUCAUCUGACGAGGAAUAAAGAUUUAUCGGUUGUGGAUGGGGAUGCGUCUGAUUAGCUUGUUGGCGGGGUAACGGCCCACCAAGGCAACGAUCAGUAGGGGUUCUGAGGGGAAGGUCCACCACAUUGGAACUGAGACCCGGUCCAAACUCCUACGUGAGGCAGCAGUGAGGAAUAUUGGUCAAUGGGCGAAAGCCUGAACCAGCCAAGUAGCGUGCAGGAUGACGGCCCUAUGGGUUGUAAACUGCUUUUAUACAGGAAUAAAGUUAGCCACGUGUGGUUAUUUGUAGGUACUGUAUGAAUAAGGACCGGCUAAUUCCGUGCCAGCCGCCGCCGUAA
Molecule: ribosomal RNA, 506 nt
Filed under: uncultured bacterium
Lineage: Bacteria
Description: partial 16S ribosomal RNA
Rfam family: Bacterial small subunit ribosomal RNA
Source: RNAcentral